Carassius gibelio (silver crucian carp) is the source of this 1083-nucleotide long non-coding RNA. RefSeq lists it as uncharacterized. The record is from RefSeq and is a predicted model, not a curated record. The transcript is spliced from 6 exons. NCBI's taxonomy places the organism in Eukaryota, Metazoa, Chordata, Actinopteri, Cypriniformes, Cyprinidae.
CACAACCCAUUCUCACUCCAAAGGCGUCAAAAACCGAAGCAUGGUCAAGCGCCCCUAGCGUCACUUUUAUGACGCCAAAUGUGCCUCUCGGCGUCGACUAUCGAAGCACUACGACCUUCAUUGCUUUCAGUGGGAAACUUUUGGCGUCAGAAUUCGACACGAGGACAUGAGAUGUUUAUCGCUAUGAAAUCACGUUCAAGAAGUCUCAUUCAGCACACAUCGCGCGAUACUUGCUAUCAUUUCCACAGUUUGGCUGAAAAGACGUAAAGGCAGUCAGCCCAGUGGUGUUUCUGGAGAGGGAUUCCUUCAGAAAUGGAGAAGACAGAAAGCUGCGGAGGCAGAUAUUUGCAGCAGAUUUUUUCCAGAUAAUGCUGUUCUUCUUUUUCAGGUCUAAAAUAUCGAGCUCAACAGCUAUUUGAAGAGCCAACCCUCACAAACCUUCCUAAAAACUAAAAGAGCUAUUACUGAAUCUCAGCGAAUCUUGCCAUGAUCAGCUCUUCCCAGAAGAGAAGGAAGACCAAGGAAAUGAUUUGCUCAGGAUGAGGAAUGAAGAUGGCCAUCUUGUGCUCAAACAAACAGAAGUCCUCUGAUGAUCUCAUCAGCCAAAUGAGGGGUUUUGACCAAGUGAUGCUCUUGAAAGGAGUGAAAGGAUGUGGUAAAUUGUCUUCAGAGAAAAAGCUUCUCAAAAGGUCUUAAAACAGCUUGAAGAAUGGUCUGGGAUGUUAGGACUGAGAGAUCCUCUGGCUGAGAACAAGCUACACCACAUCAGUGCUGGACAUCAACCACAAACUGUUUCCAGACACGAGAGAAGAAGAUCACGAUGGGGAGAUGAAACCAGUUUAGAUGUGAUGAUGGGAAUCAUUAUUUUCUGGAACAGUAUCACAUGUCUUAUAUGUAUCACAUGAUCUGUAUCACAGUUGACUGGAUGGGACUGUGUGACUUUUAAGGACAUUUCAUCACUCAUCUGUGUGAACUGAUUUAUAUAUGAGGUUAAUGUAUCUUUGAUGAUAAUUAUUUUCAUUGAAUCUUAUUUGUCUUGAUGCUACUUUAUCAACUUUAUAGUCUAUGCUUCAAUAAAAUGAA